UCGGAGAUAUUAUGAAAUUUACUUUCAGCCGAUGACGUCAUCCCAGCCCGCCGCUUCAAAACAAAGCGCUGUUUUUCUUUCUUUGCUGGUGCUGAGCUGGACCUAAAACCAAAGUAGGCUACUUUUUUAGUGCUUCGUUUGUGCAGGUUUGUGCCGUUAAAAUUGUCAUUUUCUGCUGCUUUGGUUUCGGAGAUAUUAUGAAUUUUAAUUUCAGACGAUGACGUCACCCCAGCCCGCCGCUUCAAAACAAAGCGCUAAGUUUUUCGUUCUUUGCUGGUGCUGAGCUGGAUCCAAAACAAACCACGACAUCCACCCUGAUAAAACAAGGCGGAAGUUUCCCAGACUGGUUCCCAAGUAGCACACGGAAGCAUUCGUUGAUGUACGUCUUCAGAUCAGGGUAAGGAGUGAAGGCCUUCACCAAUGCACCAAGAAUAGCCAGAGAAAAGUCACUCACGGCUUCCUUUGGUACAGCAGCACCCGUACGAAGCCAUUCUGUCAGCCAUGUUGCAAUAGCAUUAAUGUCGUGUCUCUCUGACAGCAUUUGCACAACUGGGACUGAGGAAUUGUCCCCUGUCAGAACGCCCUGAUAAAGGAAGAUGUGGCCAGAUGUACCAUUUGGUCUCACAAGUCAACAACCGAGCCUGUUGCAUCAAAGCAAACUACAGAGGGGCAUUUUUUGGACAAUGCUCUAUACACAUGGAGCUGAGUUGGACUCCAAUAGUGGCAGAAGAACUUGUCUAGACCAAUGUCUCUUAUACAACCACUGUGAGGUGUGCUAUAUUUUAGCAAUUGCAAAGACAAAAUUGGAUCUUUGUCACCUAAUUCCAAAUCUCUUCUCUCUUGCUUUGCUUUUCGUAGGGUCGCCAAAUUUGGUAGGUGACUUGGCUCAGGAUCUCCAAUAUCCAUCAAAUCUGAUGCCUUCGCUGACCUCCAUACAGCCGGCUCCAUCCUGCGCUCACACAGCUCUUUUGAAAUCUGUGCACGAAGGUCUCCAGACAUGAACCUCUUGGAACGGCCAGUGUGCAGGGAGAUAUCAGUGUCUUCGAUGGAACACUCGAGAACCAUUGGGCUGUUGACUGUUGGUUCUCUGGCACAUGUCAUUUUUAACAUGGCCUUGACACUCUUUACAGAAGCCCUUAAUGUCUAUGUAGUUGCUGGUUCUAGAUGAAUAAACUUUUGCUCUCUGGAACACAAA
Molecule: long non-coding RNA, 1195 nt
Organism: Fundulus heteroclitus (mummichog)
Lineage: Eukaryota; Metazoa; Chordata; Actinopteri; Cyprinodontiformes; Fundulidae
Exons: 2
Source: RefSeq, a predicted model, not a curated record